RNAcentral lists this ribosomal RNA (641 nucleotides) under uncultured marine eukaryote. RNAcentral's name for it is "bacterial SSU rRNA". It matches the Rfam family "Eukaryotic small subunit ribosomal RNA", at positions 618 to 1271 of the family's 1831-position model. The record is from RNAcentral.
GUUAAAAAGCUCGUAGUUUGAUUCCUGGCUGGGUCGCGAAGGCACGCCUGCGGGAUUGAGUCUGAGCGCCCAACCAUCCUUCUGUCAACUCUUCGGCCAUUUAUUUGUUCGUUGAGGGCUCAGAUAUUUUACCUUGAGAAAAUUAGAGUGUUUCAGGCGGGCUUUACGCCGGAAUACAUUAGCAUGGAAUAAUAGAAUAGGACUUCUACCUCUUCUGUUGGUCUGAGGGGCUGGAGUAAUGAUUAAUAGGGAUAGUUGGGGGCAUUAGUACUUAACUGCUAGAGGUGAAAUUCUCAGAUUUGUUAAAGACUAACUUAUGCGAAAGCAUUUGCCAAGGAUGUUUUCAUUAAUCAAGAACGAAAGUUAGGGGAUCAAAGACGAUCAGAUACCGUCCUAGUCUUAACCAUAAACUAUGCCGACUCGGGAUCGGGGGUGUGCAAUAUCCGCCUUCGGCACCGUAUGAGAAAUCAAAGUCUUUAGGUUCUGGGGGGAGUAUGGUCGCAAGGCUGAAACUUAAAGGAAUUGACGGAAGGGCACCACCAGGCGUGGAGCUUGCGGCUCAAUUUGACUCAACACGGGAAAACUUACCAGGUCCAGACAUAGUGAGGAUUGACAGAUUGAUAGCUCUUUCUUGAUUCUGU